RNAcentral lists this ribosomal RNA (218 nucleotides) under uncultured bacterium. RNAcentral describes it as "partial 16S ribosomal RNA". It matches the Rfam family "Bacterial small subunit ribosomal RNA", at positions 328 to 539 of the family's 1533-position model. The record is from RNAcentral.
ACGCUCGACACCUACUGGAGGCAGCAGUGAGGAAUAUUGGUCAAUGGACGCAAGUCUGAACCAGCCAUGCCGCGUGCAGGAUGACGGCUCUAUGAGUUGUAAACUGCUUUUGUACGAGGGUAAACGCAGAUACGUGUAUCUGUCUGAAAGUAUCGUACGAAUAAGGAUCGGCUAACUCCGCGCCAGCAGCCGCGGUAAUCUGAGCGGGCUGGCAAGGC